GACGAACGCUGGCGGCGUGCUUAACACGUGCAAGUCGAACGGAAAGGCCCUGCUUUUGUGGGGUGCUCGAGUGGCGAACGGGUGAGUAACACGUGAGUAACCUGCCCUUGACUUUGGGAUAACUUCAGGAAACUGGGGCUAAUACCGGAUAGGAGCUCCUGCUGCAUGGUGGGGGUUGGAAAGUUUCGGCGGUUGGGGAUGGACUCGCGGCUUAUCAGCUUGUUGGUGGGGUAGUGGCUUACCAAGGCUUUGACGGGUAGCCGGCCUGAGAGGGUGACCGGCCACAUUGGGACUGAGAUACGGCCCAGACUCCUACGGGAGGCAGCAGUGGGGAAUAUUGCACAAUGGGCGGAAGCCUGAUGCAACAACGCCGCGUGCGGGAUGACGGCCUUCGGGUUGUAAACCGCUUUCGCCUGUGACGAAGCGUGAGUGACGGUAAUGGGUAAAGAAGCACCGGCUAACUACGUGCCAGCAGCCGCGGUGAUACGUAGGGUGCGAGCGUUGUCCGGAUUUAUUGGGCGUAAAGGGCUCGUAGGUGGUUGAUCGCGUCGGAAGUGUAAUCUUGGGGCUUAACCCUGAGCGUGCUUUCGAUACGGGUUGACUUGAGGAAGGUAGGGGAGAAUGGAAUUCCUGGUGGAGCGGUGGAAUGCGCAGAUAUCAGGAGGAACACCAGUGGCGAAGGCGGUUCUCUGGGCCUUUCCUGACGCUGAGGAGCGAAAGCGUGGGGAGCGAACAGGCUUAGAUACCCUGGUAGUCCACGCUGUAAACGGUGGGUACUAGGUGUGGGGUCCAUUCCACGGGUUCCGUGCCGUAGCUAACGCUUUAAGUACCCCGCCUGGGGAGUACGGCCGCAAGGCUAAAACUCAAAGGAAUUGACGGGGCCCCGCACAAGCGGCGGAGCAUGCGGAUUAAUUCGAUGCAACGCGUAGAACCUUACCUGGGUUUGACAUGGAUCGGGAGUGCUCAGAGAUGGGUGUGCCUCUUUUGGGGUCGGUUCACAGGUGGUGCAUGCCUGUCGUCAGCUCGUGUCGUGAGAUGUUGGGUUAAGUCCCGCAACGAGCGCAACCCUUGUUCACUGUUGCCAGCACGUUAUGGUGGGGACUCAGUGGAGACCGCCGGGGUCAACUCGGAGGAAGGUGGGGAUGACGUCAAGUCCUCAUGCCCCUUAUGUCCAGGGCUUCACGCAUGCUACAAUGGCUGGUACAGAGAGUGGCGAGCCUGUGAGGGUGAGCGAAUCUCGGAAAGCCGGUCUCAGUUCGGAUUGGGGUCUGCAACUCGACCUCAUGAAGUCGGAGUCGCUAGUAAUCGCAGAUCAGCAACGCUGCGGUGAAUACGUUCCCGGG
Molecule: ribosomal RNA, 1343 nt
Filed under: uncultured bacterium
Lineage: Bacteria
Description: 16S ribosomal RNA
Rfam family: Bacterial small subunit ribosomal RNA
Source: RNAcentral